GAUGAAGAACGUAGCAAAAUGCGAUACUUGGUGUGAAUUGCAGAAUCCCGUGAACCAUCGAGUUUUUGAACGCAAGUUGCGCCCGAAGCCUUUUGGCCGAGGGCACGUCUGCCUGGGCGUCACGCAUCGCGUCGCCCCCCACAAUUCUCCGUAAAGGGAACAUGUGUUUUGGGGGCGGAUAUUGGUCUCCCGUGCUCAUGGCGUGGUUGGCCGAAAUAGGAGUCCUUUCGAUGGACGCACGAACUAGUGGUGGUCAUAAAAACCCUCGUCUUUUGUUUCGUGCUGUUGCUCGCAAGGUAAACUCUUUAAAAACCCCAAUGUGUCGUCUCUUGACGACGCUUCGACCGCGACCCCAGGUCAGGCGGGACUACCCGCUGAGUUUAAGCAUAUCAAUAAGCGGAGGA
RNAcentral lists this unclassified non-coding RNA (404 nucleotides) under soil metagenome. RNAcentral describes it as "partial contains 5.8S ribosomal RNA, internal transcribed spacer 2, and large subunit ribosomal RNA". The stretch from base 1 to 122 matches the Rfam family "5.8S ribosomal RNA", at positions 35 to 154 of the family's 154-position model. The record is from RNAcentral.